This 467-nucleotide ribosomal RNA is filed under the name uncultured bacterium. RNAcentral describes it as "partial 16S ribosomal RNA". It matches the Rfam family "Bacterial small subunit ribosomal RNA", at positions 28 to 506 of the family's 1533-position model. The record is from RNAcentral.
GACGAAUGCUGGCGGCGUGCUUAACACAUGCAAGUCGAACGGAAAGGCCCUGCUUUUGUGGGGUGCUCGAGUGGCGAACGGGUGAGUAACACGUGAGUAACCUGCCCUUGACUUUGGGAUAACUUCAGGAAACUGGGGCUAAUACCGGAUAGGAGCUCCUGCUGCAUGGUGGGGGUUGGAAAGUUUCGGCGGUUGGGGAUGGACUCGCGGCUUAUCAGCUUGUUGGUGGGGUAGUGGCUUACCAAGGCUUUGACGGGUAGCCGGCCUGAGAGGGUGACCGGCCACAUUGGGACUGAGAUACGGCCCAGACUCCUACGGGAGGCAGCAGUGGGGAAUAUUGCACAAUGGGCGGAAGCCUGAUGCAGCAACGCCGCGUGCGGGAUGACGGCCUUCGGGUUGUAAACCGCUUUCGCCUGUGACGAAGCGUGAGUGACGGUAAUGGGUAAAGAAGCACCGGCUAACUACGU